AGCAGCCGCGGUAAUUCCAGCUCCAAUAGCGUAUAUUAAAGUUGUUGCAGUUAAAAAGACUCGUAGUUGAAUUUCGGGAUCAAUACGUCGGUCGUGCUUCGGUACGUACUGGCGUAAUUGAUUUCUCCCUUCUGACGAACCAUGAUGUCAUUAACUUGGUGUCAUGGGAAAUCAGGACUGUUACUUUGAAAAAAUUAGAGUGUUUAAAGCAGGCUUUAGCUUGAAUACAUUAGCAUGGAAUAAUGAAAUAGGACGUUUGAUCCUAUUUUGUUGGUUUCUAGGAUUGACGUAAUGAUUAAUAGGGAUAGUUGGGGGCAUUAGUAUUCAAUUGUCAGAGGUGAAAUUCUUGGAUUUAUUGAAGACUAACUACUGCGAAAGCAAUUUGCCUAAGGAUGUUUUCAUUAAUCAAGAACGAAAGUUAGGGGAUCGAAGACGAUCAGAUACCGUCGU
RNAcentral lists this ribosomal RNA (450 nucleotides) under uncultured Glomeromycotina. RNAcentral's name for it is "SSU rRNA". It matches the Rfam family "Eukaryotic small subunit ribosomal RNA", at positions 569 to 1021 of the family's 1831-position model. Lineage: Eukaryota; Fungi; Glomeromycota. The record is from RNAcentral.